UACGAAGGGGGCUAGCGUUGUUCGGAAUUACUGGGCGUAAAGCGCGCGCAGGCGGCCUCGCGCGCCCGACGUGAAAGCCCCCGGCUUAACCGGGGAGGGUCGUUGGGGACGGCGGGGCUUGAGGGCGGGAGAGGUCGGUGGAAUUCCCGGUGUAGUGGUGAAAUGCGUAGAGAUCGGGAGGAACACCUGUGGCGAAGGCGGCCGACUGGGCCGACCCUGACGCUGAGGCGCGAAGGCGUGGGGAGCGAACGGG
This 253-nucleotide ribosomal RNA is filed under the name uncultured bacterium. RNAcentral describes it as "partial 16S ribosomal RNA". It matches the Rfam family "Bacterial small subunit ribosomal RNA", at positions 524 to 776 of the family's 1533-position model. The record is from RNAcentral.